Molecule: long non-coding RNA, 627 nt
Organism: Esox lucius (northern pike)
Lineage: Eukaryota; Metazoa; Chordata; Actinopteri; Esociformes; Esocidae
Exons: 3
Source: RefSeq, a predicted model, not a curated record
CGUGCGCCUUUAUCUCCAGUUUGACAUCGAUGUGCGCCGUUAUCUCCUUUGUUUACAUGAGGCGAUUUUGGUGCAAUGGCGCAAAUAGUCAAAUAGUGCUGUUUUUAAUCUUGCUAACAGGAUGUUUUCACAAACGUACUGUUACUCUCCCACUAUAUUGAGGAACAGGAGCAAAGGAGUGGCAUUCCGAUGGAGUUUGCAUGGUGGCUGCCCCUUAUGCUGACAAACAAGCAGCCAAAGGAUGGAAGCAGUGCGAGAACUGUUUGAAACAGCGAGUUGGAGGCCAGGAGUGGAGGUCCAACCUACGACUUCCAAGUCAAAUUGAAGAAAGUAACAGUCACGGAAGUAGGCUGAUUGAGUAUAACACAAAACAACAAUCCUGCAGUCCUGUAAUACUUUCAAUGACCUCAAAGCUGUCCUCAACCAGGUGUGUGUGGGAAGGUCUUCACACCGGACCCGACAACCCAAGUGAACCGGUGGUGGAAAUGUUGUUGAUCGGGGCCUACAAUCCAUAUCCAGGCUCUAAAUUAUUACGAGGGCCCACCUGUAGACCUCCUCUAAUCUCUCCAUCUCUUUCCUUGCCCCUCUAUUCUCUCUUCCUAUUCCCUUCUCCAUCAAUUCUCUCUU